This is a regulatory RNA element of Paenibacillus sp. FSL R5-0912, 103 nucleotides long. It matches the Rfam family "TPP riboswitch aptamer (THI element)". Rfam says of the family: Vitamin B(1) in its active form thiamin pyrophosphate (TPP) is an essential coenzyme that is synthesised by coupling of pyrimidine and thiazole moieties in bacteria. The previously detected thiamin-regulatory element, thi box was extended, resulting in a new, highly conserved RNA secondary structure, the THI element, which is widely distributed in eubacteria and also occurs in some archaea. NCBI's taxonomy places the organism in Bacteria, Bacillati, Bacillota, Bacilli, Caryophanales, Paenibacillaceae. The record is from Rfam.
AACGAUCACUAGGGGUGCCGCAAGGCUGAGACGAACAUAUCUGUUCGGACCCUUUGAACCUGAUCUGGUUUAUACCAGCGUAGGGAAGUGGAGAAUGAAUAAU